RNAcentral lists this ribosomal RNA (664 nucleotides) under uncultured Pseudomonadota bacterium. RNAcentral describes it as "bacterial SSU rRNA". It matches the Rfam family "Bacterial small subunit ribosomal RNA", at positions 9 to 662 of the family's 1533-position model. The record is from RNAcentral. Lineage: Bacteria; Pseudomonadati; Pseudomonadota.
GAGUUUGAUCCUGGCUCAGAUUGAACGCUGGCGGCACGCUUUACACAUGCAAGUCGAACGGCAGCGCAGGAGUGCUUGCACUCCUGGCGGCGAGUGGCGGACGGGUGAGUAACGCAUGGGAAUAUGCCCGACAGAGGGGGAUAACCUUGGGAAACCAAGGCUAAUACCGCAUAACCUCUACGGAGAAAAGCGGGGGAUCUUCGGACCUCGCACUGACGGAGUAGCCCACGUCCGAUUAGCUUGUUGGCGGGGUAACAGCCCACCAAGGCGAUGAUCGGUAGCUGGUCUGAGAGGAUGAUCAGCCACACCGGGACUGAGACACGGCCCGGACUCCUACGGGAGGCAGCAGUGGGGAAUAUUGGACAAUGGGGGAAACCCUGAUCCAGCGAUGCCGCGUGAGUGAAGAAGGCCUUCGGGUUGUAAAGCUCUUUCGCAGGGGAAGAAAAGGUAUUGAUGAAUAAUCAAUGCUGCUGACGGUACCCUGAUAAGAAGCACCGGCUAACUACGUGCCAGCAGCCGCGGUAAUACGUAGGGUGCGAGCGUUAAUCGGAAUUACUGGGCGUAAAGCGUGCGUAGGCGGCUAUGCAAGUCAGAUGUGAAAGCCCCAGGCUCAACCUGGGAAUUGCGUUUGAAACUGUGUGGCUAGAGUUCGACAGAGGAAGAU